Non-coding RNA from Meleagris gallopavo (turkey), 5970 nucleotides. NCBI's taxonomy places the organism in Eukaryota, Metazoa, Chordata, Aves, Galliformes, Phasianidae. The record is from RefSeq and is a predicted model, not a curated record.
UCGCCUCGGGAUCGGAGAGGCGGCAGCUUGUGCAACGGGUAGUGCUGCAGAAGGGCGGGCGGCGCUCCCUCUCAUCUCCCCGCAGAGACAGCGCCCCCGCGCCGCCCCGCGAGCAGCGGGCGAAAGGGGACGGGCGGGCGGGCGCGCGCCUCUGAGGGCUCGCGAGGGCGCGGCGUGCCCGGCUCCCGUCUUCUCCCUCCGGCACCUCGGCACUGGCUCCUGACGCAGCCGUACGCUCGUGGCCCUGAGAGGAGCUGCCAAGCUUAACUUUCGACAGAGAGGAACAUGUUGCCAGUGUGCUUUUCCUGUCCCAGCGCAAACACCCGGGCCGGCAUCACUGUCGUCGCACCUGGGGCAAUUUUGUCUCUCGGUGCCGACGCUGGGAUCUCAAAACAAGUUGUUCGCAUGUUCUAGAGCACUGGAGAAAGGGCUGUUCGAUCUAGUUCUCUGGCGCUGACUUGUGCGCCUUGGACGGUUUGGUAAUCUCUGUGCUUUAAAGCAUCGGUACAUUGGUGUAAACUAUCCCAUGUGUAUUCUGAUCCUCUGGAAAAUAUGCAUCAGGAUCGCAAAACAUGAAAUUUAUUGUGUAUCAAAAUUUUGCUCUCUAUAUUGCUCAGAGUUGGGGGCCCUAUCUUGGUGGGUGUUGGUUUUCUUGUUUGUUUGUUUGUUUUUGAAGUUUUAGAUAUUUUGACAGUAGGUAAAUCCAAAAAGCUAAAAAUCAGUAAUAUCCUCGUCAAAUAAAAUUUCAUAUAUUCAAAUCACUAUGAAAAUGAAAGUCUAGAAAUUUUGAGGUACAGUUUUCAUCUCUGCCACUUUUCAUCUCUGUCUAUGCUGGGAUCAAGAGCAGUGUAGUGUUGAGACUUUUUACAGAUCCUCUUCCCUCCGUAAACUUAGGUUGGUCGUACCCUUCCACUGAACCAUCUUUCACAUAUAGCCCAACACUGUGUACAUACAAUGUCCAUCUAUUUAAGCCACGCUGACCUUUGUUGUUUGCAUGACUUGUGCUCUGCUAAGUUUAUCUUCUGUCCUCACCCCAGUUUUUGAGUUUACCCAGUACCAUAUUAUCCUGUAUUUCAUCCAUCUUCUACCUUGUCUUUAAAUUAUUUCACAAAUGCCUGUCAUCUUCUAGGAAACUUGUCUCAUGCAUUGAGUUCUCUCACAGUUCAAUCUACUGUCUUCAUUUUUCAAUGUUGUUUUUUAUCAAAAAAACUUUGCAGUAGAACUUGGUCCAAAACACAAGGCUUUUAUUGACCCGUUAUUUAAUCAGUUUCCAACAUUACUCAUGGGUGAGCAUAUUUGUGGUAAAAUCACCCGCACUGAUCAAAUGCUUUUGUGACAGAAGUUCCUUCUUUGUUCUGCAAUCUGAGAUCUGCUGUUUUUCAGUACUCUACAUGUUGUGGUCACUUUGUGUUCUUGGUACAAGUCAACUGGAAGAGUUUUCCAAGGCAGCAGAUAAUGACAACGUUAGUUCAGAUGUCUCAAUAUUUAUAUCUCAAAUAUAAAAGCCAGAGCUUAGAAGAAAAUAAAGCAAACUACCAAGAGUGUCAUCUGUAUUAAUAAUGGCAUGGAUAGCCUCCCUGAAGAAACAAGAUCAAAUUGAGACCUGUGCUUUUGAUAUGGUUAAUGGUAUGGUUCAAACUUCUCAUUAUCUAUGUAAAAACAUUCAUAGAGAGAAAGCCAUUUAAACUUGAGACUGUACUAUGGAAGACUGAAAUGUCUAGGAAUAGAAAAAGCAUAUUUACUAUUAAAGCCUCAAAUCCAGUAGUUGAAAUAAGGAUACCUCAUAACAGCAAAAUUAGGUUGUGGUCUGUUGUCUGAAGAGUUAAGCAGAAGUACUCACCUAAGUACUUCCCAGUCCAGCUGCUGCUUUCCAUACAGGAUGCCAUAUUUUCAGUUACGCUGGUUUAUGAAACCAGAUUAUGAAAUAAUUUAGAAAAGUAACAUUGGAGGACAUAUAAAAGUUGGAAGCUUUUAAUUUUUAACCUGGAUCCACUCCCUCACAAUUUUUGCAGUGCAACUCCUGAAAUACUUGCUUGGGCAAAAUAUGUUGUGCUUCAAUUUUACAAUAAAUUAAAUGUCUGUUUAAUAAAAAGCAGUGAUAAAAUUGCUAAACAGAUUAGAUUCUCAAAUCAUAUCAUCACUCAAUAUUGAUUUUAACCUGUUGAGUUUUAGGGAAUAGAUUUAAGAUGGGAAUACUAGAAACUUGUAUGGAGUAUUUUGUCCAACUAGUAACCACGUGAAUAUAUCUAUUUUAAAUGGAGUCUGGGUUAACAAAUGAGAAGAUGCUCUGAUUUGUUUCUUCUUAGAACAGGAAGAACCUGUAUUAUUUGCUGUUGGCACUUGGCAUACAACAACCAGCUGGUUUCUGAGAACAACAUAUCUAAUAAUUAAAUGAAAACCAUGUUGUUUAUUGUAGGCUCAGUGUAACAUUAAUAGCAGGGAGAGCAUUUGCAAGUGUUGUGAAAGGUAGCAGAGGAGUGAAAUUAAUUUAUGCAAGUUGAUGUAAGCUGUAAGGUGCACAUUAAGUUUGAAAGUAGUUUUUAUGGUGCUCGUGCCCAUUCUGUAGACUUGCAUUUGCCUGACAUGUAAGUUCAUAUAAAUUGAGCAAGAUUGUUCACUUGUUUGAUGUUACUGUGAUAUUUGAAAACUUACUUGUACUAACUAGUAGAACAAGGACAGUUCCAGAGACUGAUAUGGUGUCAAAUCUGAGUUCUCUUAUGUUUAUCCAGUCUCUUUCAGUUUAUAGUUUCAGAAUUUGAAAUAGUUUGCAGGGAGAUCAAUGAAUACUCUACUAAUGCAGGCAUCAGUGUUAAAUGAUAAGAUUUCGCCAGUUCUGCUGAAGUCCUGUGCCAGAGUAUUAAUUUCUUGCGUGAUUUUGAACAGAAGGAAAUGAUUCAUCUGAGGCUGAGCUACGUCUCAUUUUUAUCAGUGUAUAUAUGUGCGAUGAAUAAAGAUAUGGAUUAUUCCAAUGACAACUUUGUCAACGUAACUAAUACCAACCAGAUGGAACCAUUUCACAUUUAGUCGCUUCACAUGACUCGAAUCACCAGUGUGGGUGAACUAAUGUGGAUAUGCUAUCUGCCACUCAAAAAAGCACACCUCCACCUCUCUGAAAUUUAUGCCGUGAGUUUAGUCUGCAGAGUGGGGCCUCUGCAUUGAAAUGGACGUAAACUUUAUUUGAUCUGCAGAACAGGGAGAAGAAGGGCUUCCAUUUCUUUGUUCUUUACUGUUCUUGCCCUUUUCCUACCCACCACCUGCAGGGCCCCAGGAACUUAAGAUUGGGAAGGUAGUCGUUCUGGACAGAAAGUUAAAUUUAUGAAUAACAUGGUGAGAUUGUAAUGGAAAGAUGUCUUCACUGUGCUGUUCACAGUGAUGUUUAGAAUGCCGAUAUUUCUAUCAUGAGUCACUAUCAUUGGCAACCUAUGUGAAAUAAAUGUAGAAUUAGGUUUUUCCUCCAAAAUGCAGUUCUCUGCUUUUAUUAAGUGCCAGUUAGUUUUUUGUGCUUCAUUUGCCCAUCUUGGAAUGGCUGAGGUAGGUAUAAAAAUGGUUCCUAUUCAGCAUGUUUAUUUUUUUUCCAGAACUUAGUUUGACCUGACAGCUUCUGGAGAUGCAAAAGCUAUAUUAUAUCACUGCUCAACAUUUAUUUCUAACUUAUCUCACAUAUUGUAUUAUUUUAUGUAUCUAUCAAAACAUAUUUUAUGAAAGAAUCCAUUUCAAUUUUCUAUUGUACUUAGAAUAAUGUUUGCAAGAAAAAAAAUGUUUCUUUUUUCCAUCAAAAAGUGAAAAAGAAGAAAGUUUUUAAAUGAAACCUGAAUUGUUGUAGUUUAUUUCUAACAUCAGUAAUGUAGAAAGGAUACUAAUGUAGUACAAGAAAGAUUUUAAUACAUUGUGUGUAGUUCUAUUUCCUUAGUUAAUUGUAAGAAAUUAGUAAUGAGAGUCCAAUCUUUACACUCUGCCCAACUCUUCUCCUUGUCAUAUUUCUGAAAACUGCUGUCACCUACACCGAACUUCCAUCCUUGAUGAAUACUGCACUUUUUAAUCAUUGUUUUCUGGGUCAAUAUAGUUCAGAUCUUUUUUUGGAUAAUUAGAUUUUCUCCUCCAUAUGCAAUACUUCUUGGAGAAUUUUUCUUAUUUUUUUUAUUGUUGAGCAUUUGUUACUGCUCAAUUACUGUUUUGCUACAUGCUCACCUUGCUGAAACAAGAUAGAUAAUGAAGGAACAAUGUGGUAACUGAAGUGGGUUUCUGGAGUUGAAUUCCUGUCUCCACCCAUUGUUUCACAAGCUGGCAAUUUUUAUAGCAACACUUCUAAUUAGCUAUGUUAGAAACACUGGACAGUUUAUGAGCCUAAUGGCUUACACACUAACAAUCCAUACACAACAUCCUCGUAGUAUUAUUGAAUAAACUUCUCACUUUUUUGCUUAACACUGCCAAAUUAUUGACUUUUGAAAAACAGAUUUCUGUGCCUUUUCUGACAGUUCUUGGCCCGGAGCUGCCUGCAGGGCUGGAGAGACCAUCAUGAAAUGCUUGGAUCUCUCUCAGCUCCUGCUAAGUGUAUCAACCUACAAAGUAAUCAUGCACAACAGAUUUCCUUACAGAUGACGUUUUUCAGUCUCUGCACCCUUCCUCCCUGUGGACUGAGUAGUCAGUUAUCUGUUAAUCAGGUACUACACAAACUCAAAGGCUUUUACUGUAAUGGUUGUGCCACACCAAAACACAGCUGGGCACAGGAACUGAGCAUAGGUAACAGCUGCUGACUUUUAAGAAUAAUCCUAUUGAUCUGAAUGACUGGAGAAUAAAACUAGAUAAGGGAUGAAAGGAACAUAUUAUGAGGAGGCAAUGCUUAUUGAAGAAGAUAAACAAAUCACUUGAGAAGAAAUCAGCGAAGAAAGGCUAUAUAAACUGAGGUGUCUUAGCACUAGAGCACGUAGAGAGGGAGACUGAGAUACCCUGAUCAGGAAGCCAGUGGAAGAAAGGUUUGGAGACUAGUUGAGCAAGGAGAUUACAGGGGCUGAACGAUGAUCCUGGUAUUGGGAGGGAAUCAAAUGGUUGGGCAAGAAGAUCAGACUAGGCGUGUGUUACAAAAUAGUAGGAUGACACUGAGCUAAGGUGGUAAACAGAAAGGAGGGAUUUUGAGUUAAUUGAUUGGAAAGGAGUAAGGUUGAAAAAAGGUACUUACAUUUAGGGAUGGAACUGACUUACAUAUGAGAUGGAACUGUCUGGACAAGGAAUCCGUGGCACCUGAGCUAGCAAUUUCUGGUAGAGAUGUAGUAGGACACUUGACAGGAAGUUCACGUGCAGUUCUUACAUGAAGCUGUACUAGUCAGUAGAUCAGGACUGUCUAGGUAAGCAGGCUGUUGCCUACAGGACUGCUCUGUCAUAUGUUACAAAAUAUUUUAGGAGACAACAUACGAGGUAGGUGACAGUGGGAAGCAAAAUGAUAGUUCUGCAGCUAAGGCAGCUAAAUGGUGAUCACUGAAUGCUACAGAAUCACUAAAGGAUGCUGCACCAGAAUACGCACACAAAAUUGGCCAUUAAAUGCAUUUUCCCUUUUUAAGAGAAAUGUCUAUUAGAGAUGCAUUUACAGAAGUGUUUCAUGCUGCUAAGUAGUUGCAAUUUAAGUGGAGCUUGCUUAAAACACAGUUUUUUAAAACAAUUAGCAUUUAAUAAUAGAUUUUUUUAAUGUAACAUAGUAUUUAAAUGGCAUUCAUUGACUAGAGCUAAAUAGUGAUUACAAGUGAAUUUUUCAAGUGAACUCUAAAUAACUGCUUAUUCACUGAAUGAGACAGCAAUAGAGUGGUAAAAAUGUAUGAAGCCAUGUAAUUAAAUGCUGCAUCCUGCUGUAGCAUCAAUUCAGGACUCUUGUGCAGUUUUAAACCACUUCUGUGGCAGACUUAUUCAGCAUUACUGCACACAUGCAGAAUCCAACUACUUGAAUUAGCAACAUUUUUGGGGGAGUGGGAAACAAGAAAA